Molecule: ribosomal RNA, 170 nt
Filed under: uncultured Nitrosomonas sp.
Lineage: Bacteria; Pseudomonadati; Pseudomonadota; Betaproteobacteria; Nitrosomonadales; Nitrosomonadaceae
Description: partial 16S ribosomal RNA
Rfam family: Bacterial small subunit ribosomal RNA
Source: RNAcentral
GCAGUUACGGAUGGGCGCAGCCUGAUCCAGCAAUGCCGCGUGAGUGAAGAAGGCCUUCGGGUUGUAAAGCUCUUUCAGUUGAGAAGAAAAAAUUGUGACUAAUAAUUGCAAUUGAUGACGGUAUCAACAGAAGAAGCACCGGCUAACUACGUGCCAGCAGCCGCGGUAAU